CUGGUUGCUAGCUAGCUAGCUAGCUAAAUAAAUAAAUAAAUGUGUGAUUCGUUCUUUGCCACCUACUGUUUUAUCAUGAAAUUGUUGAAAGACUAAGGAGGAGAAAAAAAAAAGCAUAAAGUCUCAAAUUGGCUCCAGUUGACUGCAGACUUUUCCCUUGUCAACAAUUUGCAAAGGACUCAACAGGCCUGAGUCAACACGCGCCUCCUCCACUGGUCUGACUUCCUGUCACAGGAAAUUAAAUCAAAGCUGUAUUGACAGGGUCCUAAAAAAGUCUCAAAGUUUAGCGGCAAAAAAAUUACAAUUACAGCAAUGUAAAAUGGCUCCCCCCUCGGUCAUUUUCAAGCCAUUUGUCCGAUAUGGCGUGCUCACCGUUGCGAUAGUUUGCUAUGUAAACUAAAUGCUUUACAUCAUCAAACACCACAGGCAAUACACGAUGCAAAACUUGAAAAUACGCCCAUUUUUAAACAAAAAAAUUUGCAGGAUUUGAACUACUUCCAAACGAUGUGAAAAAAUAGGGUUUUAAGGACAUGAGGUAAGAGGGGUGGAAAAAAUAGUUACGACAAUCACUUUCUGAAAUCGAAAUCAAAAAUCAAUUUUCUCCAAAAUAUAUACUCACGUUGACAAGCAACAAAAUACCAUACAAUGAAGUUAUCAGUACUGUAAAUGUGCCAUUUCCUUCUAAGGUAUCUCGAUGUAUUUUAAAAGGAAAGUCAAGUCAAAAAUAAUUGUUACAAUCAUAUGUUCUGUGCGGCAUUCUGUUUAAUACUGCGUUUGUGGAAUACGAAUUAAGGAGGAAAAUCCACCAAUUAUUAUGUAUUCAAUUUGCCAUUUGCUGUCAAUCGAAAAUGACAUUACAGUUGCUCACGGCUCAGGUAACAACCAGUCACGGCUCAGCUUGCGAACAUCACAUGACCCAACUCCAAACAGGUUAAAAUGGAACCAUUCAAAUCACUUCGAUAUGAUGCACUAGCAUCUUUAAAAAAAUACAAAUAAAAAUCUGAUUCAGAGCAGUUUUUGUUCCCCCCUAAUAACUACUAACUAGUUUUGAUAUCAGAAGCCAGU
Long non-coding RNA from Hippocampus comes (tiger tail seahorse), 1065 nucleotides. RefSeq lists it as uncharacterized. The transcript is spliced from 2 exons. The record is from RefSeq and is a predicted model, not a curated record. Lineage: Eukaryota; Metazoa; Chordata; Actinopteri; Syngnathiformes; Syngnathidae.